Long non-coding RNA from Carassius gibelio (silver crucian carp), 395 nucleotides. RefSeq lists it as uncharacterized. The record is from RefSeq and is a predicted model, not a curated record. The transcript has 3 exons. Lineage: Eukaryota; Metazoa; Chordata; Actinopteri; Cypriniformes; Cyprinidae.
GGAGAACUGACUUCAUACAUCCACGAAAAUCACCAAAACACCAGCAGAUUCAAAGUGAGACUUCAACCGUGAGGAAAAGUGACAUUAGUCGAGAGAAAAGUCCCGCAGCAUCUGAGAGGUUUUAAAGGGUGAUGCGUACUCUGGCUGUGACAUCAUCAUCCUGUGGAGGGACUUUGAGAGGAUUCAGAUCAUCCCAGAAGCCAAACACGGGAACAUCCAGAUUAUUGCUGAUGUGAGGAAGCAGUGAGGAAUCCGCUAUAUAGUGAUCAUGCUCUCUGCCCUUUAACCUCUCAAAUCUGAAUAUAUACGCCAAUGAAUCUAAUUUUAUAUCGAGUAUGAAGAGAUCUGGAAUAUACUUGACUGUAUUUAAUGAGAAAAUAAAUUACUUAAUGCAA